Molecule: long non-coding RNA, 2603 nt
Filed under: Salvia miltiorrhiza (redroot sage)
Lineage: Eukaryota; Viridiplantae; Streptophyta; Magnoliopsida; Lamiales; Lamiaceae
Description: long non-coding RNA (SMIL_LNC005761)
Source: RNAcentral
GUUGGAAUAUAGGAUGAGAGAAUGUAAGCAAAUUUAUUUAGAAAUUUAUUUUGGAGGAUGAAACUUAUGAAGAGGCUAUAUAAGAAUUAAUGUGUAUGUGGGUGUGUGGACGUGACAAACAAAGAAAUGAACAAGGGGAACACUUGAUUUUUAAAGCUAUUUAACUUGAUUGCUUUUUUGCUCUACACAUCAAUACCAAAGUGUACACACAUAUAUAUAUUAUGACUAUGUCGGUUAAGUAACCGACUUAAUUUGCUAGACUAUUCUAGGACACUUAUUUGCUAGAAUAAUCUAGAUAGUUAGCUAAUUAAUUCAAGUUGCCUUUUAAUCUAAAUAUCUUAGGUUCUAGAUUUUUCUACUUUCUUCCUAUAUUUUAUUUUUAUUUUUGAAUCUAGAUUUUUCUUUACAAAAUAUCUUUACUUACAAAUCAAGUUUAUAUUUCAACACUCCCCCUUAAACUUGAUUUGUCAUUCCGAGCAAAACUCUGAACUUGACGAAAUCCUCAAAUUUGAGCGGCUUGGUAAAAAUAUCGGCAACUUGAUCCUGUGAUUUUACAUACUCCACUUGAACCUCCUUCUUUGCAAUGCAUUCUCUGAUGUAGUGAAAGCGGGUGUCAAUAUGCUUGCUUCGAUUAUGAAACACCGGAUUCUUUGAGAGCGCGAUUGCCGACUUGUUAUCCACACAAAUAGUUGUUGGCUCCUUUUGUGGCCAUCCAAGCUCUUCCAGUAAACUCCGUAGCCAAACUGCAUGGCAAACACUGGAUGUAGCAGCCACAUAUUCAGCUUCACACGUUGAUAGCGUGACUAUGGGUUGCUUCUUGGACAUCCAGGUGAAAGCGGUGUCUCCCAUAAAAAAUCGAACCCGCUCGUACUCUUGCGGCCAUCAUUAUCUCCAGCCCAAUCGCUAUCACUAUAGCCAACAAGCUUAUAAUCAUGAGUAUUUGAAUAGAAUAGGCCGUAGUUGAGUCGUACCUUUGAGGUAGCGAAGAAUUCUCUUUGCCGCCUUAAAAUGCGUAGUGGUUGGAUUCUCCAUAUAGCGACUCACGAGUCCUGUCGCAUAAAGAAUGUCCGGCCUUGUGCAAGUUAAGUACCGUAAACUUCCAACCAAGCUCUUAAACAAUGUCGGGUCCACCUUUUCUCCUCCAUCGUUCUUGGAUAAUUUUAUCCCGCAUUCCACUGGCGUGUUGAUUGCUUUGCAGCCCUCCAUCUUGAACUUCUUGAGAAUUUCCUUGGCAUAUCCUUCUUGUGUGAUGAAGAUCCCAUCUUCGAGUUGCUUGACUUCCACGCCGAGGUAGUACGCCAUCAGCCCAAUGUCUGUCAUCUACAAACUCCUUUGACAUGGCCUUCUUGAACUCCUCAAUCAUCUUUGGAUUAUUCCUGUAGAAAAUCAAAUCAUCUACAUACAAGCACACAAUUAAGACAUCUCCUCCAUUGGCUUUCACGUAGAGAGCAUGCUCGUGAGGGCAUUUGGUGAAACCAUUCUCCUCCAAGUACUUAUCGAUCCUGCUAUUCCAUGCCCUUGGUGCUUGCUUUAGUCCGUAUAGGGCCUUCUUUAACUUCAAGACUUUAUCUUCUUGCCCUUUCACCUCGUAGCCCAUUGGCUGCUUGAUAUAGACUUCUUUGUCUAUAUACCCAUUCAAGAAGGCUGAUUUGACAUCCAUUUGAUAAAUCUUCCAUCUAUUUUGGGCUGCAAGAGAGAGUAUUAGUCUAAUAGUUUCUAAGCGAGCAACGGGAGCAAAUACCUCAUCAUAAUCGAUUCCAGCUCUUUGACUAUAUCCUUUCACGACGAGCCUCGCUUUAUAUCUUUCAACUUCACCUUUGGAAUUCUUCUUAACUUUAUACACCCACUUGACACCAAUAGCCUUGUGCCCUUUCGGUAGUGUCACGAGCUCCCACGUAUCAUUCUUCUUUAUGGCCUUGAUCUCUUCAUCCAUCGCGACUCGCCAAUUUUCACUAUCUGCUGCUUCUUCAAAGCUAACAGGCUCACAAUCAGCAAAUAGGCAAAAUAAGGUAAGAUCUUCUAACCUUUCAGUAUCCUCAUAUAUCUCGCCCAAACUCCUUGCUCGUGGUGUAGCUCUUUCAUUUAAGAAAGAUGGUGGCGAGUCUUCAGUGACUGGCACUGGUGAAGCUGGUGAGUCACUGGCUCUUGUGGACUUCUCCAAUUUGCUUCUUCUGCUACUUUGUUCUUCUAACUGUGGGAUGUAGGUGAAGUCANCUCACGAGUCCUGUCGCAUAAAGAAUGUCUGGCCUUGUGCAAGUUAAGUACCGUAAGCUUCCAACCAGGCUCUUGAAUAAUGUCGGGUCCACCUUUUCUCCUCCAUCGUUCUUGGAUAAUUUUAUCCCGCAUUCCACUGCCGUGUUGAUUGCUUUGCAGUCCUCCAUCUUGAACUUCUUGAGAAUUUCAUUGGCAUAUCCUUCUUGUGUGAUGAAGUAUCCCAUUUUCGAGUUGCUUGACUUCCACACCGAGAUAGUACGCCAUCAGCCCAAUGUCGGUCAUCUCAAACUCCUUUGACAUGGCCUUCUUGAACUCCUCAAUCAUCUUUGGAUUAUUUCCUGUGAAGAUCAAAUCAUCUACAUACAAGCACACAAUUAAUAUAUCCUCUC